AACAACAAGGGUGAAAUCUGUACUUAAGUUAAAUUUCUUGUUUAAAGCAUCUUUUAGGUAGUUAAACGACUAGGAUUAGAUACCCUAUUAGUCUAUCCUUAAUUAACCUGGGUAGUAAUAUUAAAACCUAAAGAAUUUGGCGGUUUCUAAACUUACUAGAGGAACCUGUCCCGUAAACGACAAUCCACGAAAAAAUCAACCCAAACUUGUUAUUCAGCUUAUAUACCGUCGUUUAGGGGAUUAAACAAAUAGAUCUCCUUAAGAGCUUAGGCUAAUAAAUCAGAUCAAGGUGUAGCUUAUGUUUGGGUGAGGAUGGGUUACAAUGAAAAUUCAUACGGAACCUUUAUAUUUCUGCAAAGGAGAAGGUGGAUUUAGAAGUAAGACCUAACACACUGAAGAAAGCCCUGAGAAAUGUACAC
This 419-nucleotide ribosomal RNA is filed under the name Artemia sinica. Its description in RNAcentral is "partial small subunit ribosomal RNA". The record is from RNAcentral. Lineage: Eukaryota; Metazoa; Arthropoda; Branchiopoda; Anostraca; Artemiidae.